Molecule: long non-coding RNA, 1368 nt
Filed under: Junco hyemalis (dark-eyed junco)
Lineage: Eukaryota; Metazoa; Chordata; Aves; Passeriformes; Passerellidae
Description: lncRNA (ENSJHYG00000001919.1)
Source: RNAcentral
GUCAGGCUCAAGCCUUUUCUGCUGUGCUGGAAGGUCAGGAGGUGUCCUUAACAGAAAGAAGAGACUAAACUCCUCUCUGCCCUGCACUCUUUCAGGGAGAGCUCUUCCCUAAAGCCCCGAGUGUGACCUGAAUACAAGAGAAACACGGACUUCAGGAUUUGGUGCUUGCAGGGCUGCUCCCAAGCUCUUGUCUGACCUGAGUGUGUUUGCCUCUGCACGCUGCUUGUAGGACCAAGCCCUGCUGUGCUGCAGAGUCACCUCUGCUCCUCCUGGAGCCAGAGGCAGCUCAGGGUAAUCAGCACAUGCAGAAAUACGCUCUGACUGUGGAAGCCUGGUAAGAGCGCAGUUUAAUUUCACUGUGGUAUGCAGCACUCCAAGAAAACUCCCAGACUCAGUUCUUUUCCUUCAAGCACAAUCCCUUAUCAAGGUCCUUGGCAGCAAUUCACAUACAGAAAGGAGCAGCUGUCAUGGUAUUCCCACAUACAAACACAAAAAAACAACCCCUCCCUGCUUUCAGUGCAGCAAUGUUACGUAGUAUGAAUAAUUACAAUAUUUAACACUUGUAUCUGUGCUUUUAAUCUUCAAAGCACUUAACGAGCACUAGGUACAGGUAAUUGUAGCUGCAGAGUGAUGUGACUGUCUGCAAGAAGAGAAGAAUUGGGUGCAUGAGUGCUCCAGUGGUCCUGUGCAGGGUGGGCACAGAGCAAAUGGGGCAGUAAAGGCCCAAUGACAUGAAAUCCCUUGGCUGUCAGGGUUGAUUUUUUCCUUUGAAUGGUGGCUAUCCCUCUGCCACAGGUCAGUGACUUCUCAGGUCUGUUGGUGGAAUCACUCACCUUCUGGUUUCCCAACCCACCUUAGUCCCAAUGAACUUGGUUAGGAAAGACCUAUAUAGCAAACCAUGUUUGCUGACCUGGCGUGUUCUCACGUCAGGAUGAGAGAGUGCUUGGAUGAGCAGCUCAGCCAUCAAACCUGGGAAAAUGGAACUCCUGGCAGAAAAGAAGAUGACUGUGGAGGGAAGGUGACUGGGACUUGCAGGAGGCCUAUAGGAGGCUGGCAAUGGUGGCAGCUGGCACAGGAGGAUUACCCUGCUCUGCCUUUGGCCUCUGAGGGACAUAUGAAGUUGGUGGUCCCAGGAUUUCAGAGUGAGCAGAAUGAAAUUGCUGAGCAGAGCUCACACUCUCUGGACUUCGCUGCAGCUGGGAUCCUCCUCUGGACAAAGGUGAUGUGUCUUUGGCUUGGCAGGAAGGUUUAUUAAAAUACCACAGGUUCAGACAAUGCCGGUUACGAGGAGUGCACACUGCGCUGGAUGUGGGAGGACUGGCGCAGAGUUUCCAAUAAAAAUGAAGUGACUUAGAAAUCUCUUCUUCA